This 447-nucleotide ribosomal RNA is filed under the name uncultured bacterium. RNAcentral's name for it is "partial 16S ribosomal RNA". It matches the Rfam family "Bacterial small subunit ribosomal RNA", at positions 328 to 792 of the family's 1533-position model. The record is from RNAcentral.
GUGCCAGACUCCUACGGGAGGCAGCAGUGGGGAAUAUUGCACAAUGGGGGAAACCCUGAUGCAGCAACGCCGCGUGAGUGAAGAAGUCAUUCGUGAUGUAAAUCUCUAUCAGCAGGGAAGAAAAUGGCGGUACCUGACUAAGAAGCCCCGGCUAACUACGUGCCAGCAGCCGCGGUAAUACGUAGGGGGCAAGCGUUAUCCGGAUUUACUGGGUGUAAAGGGAGCGUAGACGGCGGUGCAAGCCAGAUGUGAAAGCCCGGGGCCCAACCCCGGGACUGCUCUGGAAACUGCGGCGCUGGAGUACGGGAGGGGCAGGCGGAAUUCCUGGUGUAGCGGUGAAAUGCGUAGAUAUCAGGAGGAACACCGGUGGCGAAGGCGGCCUGCUGGACUGCAACUGACGUUGAGGCCCGAAAGCGUGGGGAGCAAACAGGAUUAGAUACCCUCGUA